AUUCAGUAGUAAUCCUAUCCUUUAAAAUUAAGCUUUUUAAAGGUAACACUAGUACUACUACUAGUAUUUAUCUUUUCACUAAAUCAUCAGUGAAUGGAAGGUUUAUCUAAAAGUGAGUAAAAGCUACGAUCUCUUGUUUUCUUCUGAGAAAAUAAGGCUAGGACCAGGAAAUGAAUUUAUAAAUAUUUACAAGAUUAUAUGGGUGUUGAUAUACUAAAGUCUAAAGGCCUCUUGAUUUCUUUUGCUGUAUUCUGAAGAAACUAGAACUUGUAGACAUAAGUAUAAGAUGUGAAAUUACUGAAAAAGACAGGCUAUAUUCCACUUAAGACAGUCAUAUAUUUUUGGCAGGAUAUUUAGCUUAUGCCGUGGUAUAAGUACCUGUUACUAAUGUUAUUACUAGUGCUAGUAGUAGAGGUCUGAAUCAUUUAAAAUUAAAGAGGUAUCAAUGAUUUCUUGAGAAGUUUUUUCCCAGUGAUGGGUUUCCUAGAAAAACCUUGAAGAACCAGAUGGUCUUUUAUUGUCCAUGUAUUAACUUAUAAUUAAAUUUUGUUUUCAGCAUAUAACAGAAGAAAGUUGAUACAUGUAUAUCAUGAAAUUAUGUAUUUUCAUACAAACUUGCAAGUGAAAAUAUAGGUAGGCCUGAGAAGAUCAAUCAAAUUGGUGAGUCAAAGUGUAUGGCAGAACAAGGUGGUUGUUACAGGCUGUAUGCUGUAAAGAUAUGGAGGCAUUGAAGAGCCUGCAUUGCACAGAGGUGCAUAUGUUGCACAGACUGUAGAAUCUGAAUUUUAAAGUAUAUUCCAAUCAGUGUUUGCAGCUGCUGUUGAAUCAGUUUCUGAGAUAUCCUAUAGACAAUUUGCAUAAACUAGCAGUGAUAGAGAAAUCUCUAUGCAAGCAAUCUGCAAUUGAUAUAGAUGAAAUGAUUGACAUUUAUCAAAAUGACCUGGUGCCAUUAGAAUCAAAGAACUGUGUGAAAUAUGAAAUUGAACAUGUGCACAGUGUCAUCGGCAAGAACUUUCCAGAUUCAUCAGAGAUUUCCGUACAUUAUUUUUGUGAAGCAGUGUGCAACAAUCCUGUGCUGAAGGAUGUUUGUCCAUCAGUUUUAACCAUGUUCAAAAUCUAUAUGGUGGCUCCAGUGACUACAUGUACUGCUGAAAAGUUACUUGCCCCUCACCAUCUCACAGUCUCGUGUGAAUCAUUUUGUUUGUCUCUAUAUCUUGAAGAACGAUGUGGAUGAAUUGCAUCUACCAAAAUUUAUUAACAACUUUAUUAGUCAUAGUACAGAAAUUUGAAUUGCAGUGAUGAGCCAAAUGACCCUUUUGUUAUCCAUUGAAAUAGAAUAUUUUUCCUUAAUAUGUUUAUUUUAAAUGUUUUGUUUUGAUACAUAUCUAUCAGCCAGCAAUUCAUGAGCUAUAGCUUACAGGAGCCAGCUUUUUGAUUUAUUGAAGAUGUAACCAAACUAUUAGAAGACAGAAAAUCAAGAUUCGUUUACUUCAUAAAGUAUCAUCAACACUUUUCUUAUAGUAUUCAUAUACUUUAUCAAAAUUUCAUGCCAUAUUUUGCUGUUAAGUUAAUUUUUUAUAUUCAGUUUUUUAAUGUUCUGUAAGCUCCCUAUUUUUUGUGAUCAAGCUGAUGAAAAACUUUUGAUACAAUCAUGUUUGAUGAACAUCAGUUACAAUAUUUUAAAGGAUUUGUAAGGCAUGAGAUGUUCAGUCCUAUUCAUUAAUGUAAUCUAAAAUAUAUGUUCAUAAGUUAUUUCCAGAACUUUGGGGAACACCUGUCGUAUUUUCUAAAAGACACCAUUAGCUCUGAUGUUUUGAUAGUGGAUUGUUGAUCAAUAUGUGUACGAGUAUUUUAUAGGUUUUGGUUCUUUAACUGUGAGGGAAAUUCAUUAACAUUCUCAGGCCGAGCUGAAUUAUUUGUUGGUGAAAGUGGUCUUCUGUCACCUUAUCUUAAUUUCUUGUUAUUCUAUCUUUGUUACUUGUAUUAGAAUUUUCUUCAAAUGUUUUUUAGCAUCAGUUAACUGAUGGGAUUAUGUAUGAAUAUUGUUGUACAUCCAAAAUACAGCUAGAAAUACCUAAGUCUAAUGUCAUCAGCAAAGUACUACUAAUGUAUUUGUCAAUAUUAGUAAUGUAAAUAAGGAAAAGCAGGCCCAUGUACUGACCCAUGACACACUAUUUGUAAUGCAAGCCCAAUUUGACCAGGCUCCAUUAAUAACAAAUAUUAGCUCUUUUUCUCAUGCUGCCAUCCUAUAAUCCAGUAAACUAAGUUUUUCACCAACCCCUGCUAAUUGAAUUAGAGAUUUUUUCAAAUGUUCUUUCAGCAUCAAUGUACUAAACUGAUUAUGUAUGAAACUGUGACUUUUAGUUACUUAAUGAGUAGAUGGUAUGUAAUUUAUUUUUAAAACUUGCAUGAAUAUUUAUGCCAACUCGUUAAUGAUGAGUUCUCAUCAUAAGGAAUGUAGUUGUGGGUAUGUAUGUAUAUUCAUGUAUACAUAUCUGAGAAAGAUGCACUAUGAACAGUAAUGAGUUCACUAAGAAAAUCUUGGUGCCAGUCACAUAUAACCAUUUGUACAUUUUAUGAUUAAUGUCAGACAUGGCAUAAUCUAGUAUCAAAUAAACACCCAUUGAAAAUCCAUUUAAAACAAUAUUUUUGUGAUGGAAAUAGUUAUAUACUGUAAUAUAUACACUCAUAUGUUUUGCAUGAAAUGUUCCUCCUCUUUCCCUUCCCUCUAAAAUGUUAUUCUGUAGUAUGUAAUGAAAAGAAAAUCAUGUAUUAUAUCAAAAUAUCUGAAUAAAGUAAAAUGUAUCUUAUGUAUUCAGCAGUAAAAAACAAAACAAAUUUUGAACUGCAAAAUUUUGUACGAGAGUGUCUUCUAUUUAUGAUUUUAAGAAGUGUUUUACUGGUUAACAAUUUUUAAUAUAGAAAAAUCAUUCAUAUUUCACUUGAAGGAAUGUUACAUUUUGUCUGAGGUGUCUAUUUAACUUACUUUUGUGUCUUCCUAUGGCUUGUUUUCAUCAGUAUCUAUUGAAUUUGUGGUGUAUAUGUACUCUUUGAAGAAAUAAAUAUCUUAUGUAAAAUAAUACUGUCAGCCUAGUGUUUGUUGUUUUUAUUGCUAGUUCUGAUUAAGAGAAAUACUAUUUUUAAACUCUUGAGUUUUAGAGUAAAAUUUAUACACUGGAUUAACCACGCUAUGAUAGUAUGUAUUAAUUUUUUAAAACUGCAUGUAUGGUAUUAUUACUACCAGAUAGAUGCAGCUAGUAUACAAAACCUGUGUAUUAAAUUUUACAUAGUUGUGCUUAAACCGAUAUAGUAUUACUAUCAUGGAAAUACAGAGAAGAUUAAUCUUUGACAAACUUUACAUAAAUGAAUAUAAAUUGUGAACAUAUUGAAAUGCCAGAUACACCAUUUUGUCACACCUGCAUAUCUUGCAUAUUAUUGAAACUGAACUGGUGUACAUGUAUAUAAACUCCAAAUGACACAUGGAAUCUAAUUUCAUGCAUGUCUGUAGUCGUACAAUCAUUGGUUAUCAAGUGUGGGUCUAACAGUGUGUAUAAGUUUAACAUUUUGUGUUCACAAACUAAUGUUAAAAGUAAUUGUAUCUGUUUUGAAAGGAGGAACGAGGUUGCUCUAUUUAUUUGCAGCCAUCUGUGGCUUUAUUGCAAGUGUGUACUGUAUCUGUGACCUGAGGCAACUGUAGUCGUGGUGUUUUGUUUCCAACAGGGUCUGAAAAUGAGUAUGAAGAAACUCUUGAGGGCUUGGAAGAAGGAAGAAACUCUACACAGUGCCCUCAUUGCAGGAAAACGUUUUUUAAUGCUUCAUCCCUGAGAAGACACGUCGAAAUUCAUUUUGUGCAGCGAAAGAACUAUAGAUGUCACUUGUGCCAGAAGGUGUUUUCAUGGAAAACCACAUUAAGUUCACAUAUGAAAAAGGACCAUAAAUUACGCAUGAGAUUUUAAAUUUCAUACACUUAGAUGAAAACAACAAGUGAUAUUAAUCUGUCUUUAUUCUUUGAAGUGGUUUGUAAUGGACUACAGUAGUGGAGACAGAAAAUUAAUUGAGUACUGUGGAUGGUUUUAUUUUGUCAGCCUUCAUGCUCCCAAAGUGCAAUUCGAGGCGCACGUGGACUGAAGAACAGAUGAAGAAAGCAGUGGAUGCUGUCAUUGUAGGAAGAAAAUCAUUUCAACAAGCAUCAUCUAUUUUUGGAGUUAAGAAGACAUCACUUCAUCAUCGUGUUAAGCUCCUUACAAAAUUUUCUUAUAAAAAGAUACAUAUAAAGGAUUGAUAUAAUGUAUUAUUCAAUACACGUUCUGUAUCACAUUUAGCCUGCUAAAAAACAUCAACUGUAAACCACAUUCUGUGAUAAAAGAGUGGAAUAUUAAUGGUGAUUGGAUACUGCAAGGUUAAGGGUAGAAGGGUGAUGUUCGGUAGGUUAGGAAUACAAGAUGGAUAGACGUUUUAUUAUAUAGGUUAUGAAAAGCUUGGAAGAUUGUCUUUGAUACAUAACAUAUUGGAGGUUAAUUACAGAGAAAUAAUUUUCCUACAUGUAUUUUUAUGACUGGCAUAAGAAAGAUACAUCUAGUUAUAUUGUAUUUUUCCCAUUUAUACAUUAAAUGUUGUAUGCUAGGACCUCAUGAUUCAGCAGUAUUUAUUGGAAAAAAUAACCGACUUAACCAUAUACAAAAUUAUUUCAAAGUAUUUUUUCUUAAUUCAGCUACAUUUUGGAAUUGUGGUUAAGAUUUAAAAUAACUUAAAAGCUGUUAAACAUAAAAUUAUUAUUGCUUUCUUUACAUUAAGCAUAAUUAAUCUAAUCCUUAUUGUAAAAACUGUGAAUUUUCUGAAAGGUUCUUGUACAAGUAUUCUGUAAUUGUACCACUAGAAUUUUAGAUAGAAAAUAAAGCUUGAUGGUUUCUAAUCUUGCUAACGUAAUGUGGUUCUUAUAUUCAUGCAUUCAUAAUUUGUUUUGAAUUAUAAAUAAUGUUUUAAGUCUAGACUUUGUUUCUAAUGUCAUCCUGCUUAGAUGCUUUUAUUUUAUAUGUAAUGUAGUAGUAUACUGCCUUUUUUUCUUAUCUUUUCUAUAUUUCAACUAAAACACAAGUUUCCAUUUCUUCCAUAUUUAAAGGAGAUUUCAGAAUUUAUAUGUACAUUCAGCAGGAGUUAACUUUUAGAGAAUAAAAUACUGAGUAAAAGUUUUAAGAUGGGUUCUCAAUCUUGGGAAAAUGUUAUGUUUAUUUGGAAACGUUUUUCCUGGUCAUCUCUGUUUGUUAUUUGUCAACACGUUUGUUGCCGUGUGCCCCACCAGUGGAUCACAAUCAACUUUUAGUUGUAAUUGUUAGUACUACCGGUGGCAGCGAACGUGUUAAAUAUCUAUAAAAGAUCAAACAACAAUAUCUCACAAUAAAAGGAAUACAGAGGAAUUCCUUUUAAGUUAAGCUUAUGCGUAUAAAUUUUUACCAAUUUUUGAGUGCUAGAGAGGGAAAGAAAAUAUUUAAGCCUUGUUUUAGAAAAAUAAAAUAUUAAUCAAUUUUGAAUCUUUCAGUGAUGAUAAUUGGUAAAAUUUAAAGUUAUCUAAACAAAACUAUUUUGAAAUCAUUGGAUUAAUGUAUAAUAUUUUCUGUAUUAUUUCUGUGAGACAAGAAAUAUACUACAAUGUUGAGAAGACUUUAAAAAAAAUUUUUUCUUGGUCAUUU
Limulus polyphemus (Atlantic horseshoe crab) is the source of this 5687-nucleotide long non-coding RNA. RefSeq lists it as uncharacterized. NCBI's taxonomy places the organism in Eukaryota, Metazoa, Arthropoda, Merostomata, Xiphosura, Limulidae. The transcript has 3 exons. The record is from RefSeq and is a predicted model, not a curated record.